RNAcentral lists this ribosomal RNA (485 nucleotides) under uncultured bacterium. RNAcentral describes it as "bacterial SSU rRNA". It matches the Rfam family "Bacterial small subunit ribosomal RNA", at positions 19 to 518 of the family's 1533-position model. The record is from RNAcentral.
CUGGCUCAGGACGAACGCUGGCGGCGUGCCUAACACAUGCAAGUCGAACGGAGUAAGGGUUUCGAUUCUUACUUAGUGGCGAACGGGUGAGUAACGCGUGAACAACCUGCCUUCCUGAGGGGGAUAACACCUGGAAACAAGUGCUAAUACCGCAUAAGACCACAGAGCCGCAUGGCCCAGGGGUCAAAGGAGCAAUCCGCAGGGAGAGGGGUUCGCGUCCCAUUAGCUAGUUGGCGGGGCAACGGCCCACCAAGGCGACGAUGGGUAGCCGAGCUGAGAGGCUGAUCGGCCACACUGGAACUGAGACACGGUCCAGACUCCUACGGGAGGCAGCAGUGGGGAAUAUUGGGCAAUGGGCGCAAGCCUGACCCAGCAACGCCGCGUGAGGGAAGAAGGUCUUCGGAUUGUAAACCUCUGCCCUAUGUGACGAAGGAAGUGACGGUAGCAUAGGAGGAAGCCCCGGCUAACUACGUGCCAGCCGCUGC